Erythranthe guttata (spotted monkey flower) is the source of this 1315-nucleotide non-coding RNA. The record is from RefSeq and is a predicted model, not a curated record. NCBI's taxonomy places the organism in Eukaryota, Viridiplantae, Streptophyta, Magnoliopsida, Lamiales, Phrymaceae.
GCUCAUUUGGUUUGCAAGAUUAGGGCUGAUAGGAUGCUUUAUCAGCCCUAAUCAGGCGUUUGGUUUGCAUGCCCGAGGCCCAAUAUAGAUAAGAGGCCCGAUACUGGAAUCCCGAAUUUAUUUGAUUAUGAAUCAGCCCAGCACAUCCCUGAUUGUGCAAUCUGGAAUUUCGGCCAGAUCCACUUGACAAAAAAUGUUAUUUAAAAAAAAUAAUAGCCUUCAAAAUCAAACAAUUAACCACACACCCUGGUAUAAAUAAUAGAAACGUGUAUUUCCCUUCACACAUGAACCCUACCUGAGGUAAUUCCCAAACACGAAAUUAUCGCAAUUCGCGAAUCAUAUUUUUGGUGAAACAAUAUAUCGAUUUACGUUUAUUCUUAAUGGAUUUUUAAAACAACAUAUGGUGUUUAUUUUGGCAGGUAUUCAAAGCACGAAGAAUUGAAGCUACAAGAAACGAAGCUAAGUAAUUAUCCAGUGUAAUUGUGAUGGCCCUAACUACAGAACAAGAAGAAUGCAUUGUUGUUGUACGAUUGGCCGAUUCACUACGAUGACUACCUUAUGGCGGGUCUGGAGCGACUAUCUCAGCCAUUUUCUUCGUUGGAGAAUGUUCAGGUGGUCAACAGAAUAACCGAGCAAAUUACAACUGAAAUGUUUUCAGCAUAUGGAAUUAUAUGCAAUUUGUUGACUGUUAAAGGACGUUUACAAGAUAUUCGCAGUCGGUUUGAAGACUUCGACCAGUACAUCAAAUUACCAGGGGUGUUCUACGACCGUCUCACUAAUCAAGUUUCAGUUGAUACAAGUUAUUGGGGAAAUUUGAUGACCAGUGUAAGCGUUUUAUAUAUUUUGCAAUUGUAAUUGAUUUGUCUAUUUAGUUGCGUUUAUUUGCGUUAAUCUUGUCCAUCCUGAAUUGCUCAGGAAACAACAGUUCAAAGUCACUAUAGAGAAUUUGGUUUUAAAUACUAUAAUACUUGUGUGACGUUGCUCAACUUGAACAAAAUCGGACCGAUAGAUUUUGAAGUUGUCCGAGUGUUCCAUAUGCUUCCACCGCAACUCGAUGCUGACAACGUUGAGAACGAGGAGUUCGUGGCCGACGAGGUUAUGAGUGAACCGAUUGAAGCUUAGGAACAAGAAGAUGAGAACGUUAGUGGAUCCGAUGAGGAAACCUCCAUAAUUACUUGUGUUUGAGAGUGUCUUAAACAUGUUUAUAUUUCUUAAAAAGUCUACAGUAAGUCAUGGUACUUUGAGUUUCUUCAUUUUCUUUGAUUUUUAUGCAUUUUGUAAUAUUACUUUGAAUCUAUCCUACAUCUCAUGAGUA